This 107-nucleotide transfer RNA is filed under the name Anolis wattsii. RNAcentral describes it as "tRNA-Ala". The record is from RNAcentral. Lineage: Eukaryota; Metazoa; Chordata; Lepidosauria; Squamata; Anolidae.
UAAGACCUGUGAAAUUUUAAUUCACAUCUUCUGAAUGCAACUCAAACACCUUCAUUAGGCUAAGACCUUGCUGAAUAGGCGGGCCUUGAUCCCACAACAAAUUAAUU